Non-coding RNA from Anas platyrhynchos (mallard), 7258 nucleotides. The record is from RefSeq and is a predicted model, not a curated record. NCBI's taxonomy places the organism in Eukaryota, Metazoa, Chordata, Aves, Anseriformes, Anatidae.
CUUACUCCUGAAUUAGGCUGCUAUGCAGCCAGAAAUACAGUAUACAAAAUGAGAAGGCAAAACUGGCCUCUGUUUGAAUUUCAACUUUAAGAGCUGUCAGGUGGUUUUGCGAGUCCUCAGGGUCUAUACACAGCUUCAUACCCUGGUCUGACCAUAUGAAGAAAAUCCAUCUCCUUUGAUGAGUUCGCCUUCCUUUUUGAACCUCAGACUGUCUGAAGAAUGUAAGAAGUGCCCUACUGGAUGGGAACAGAAUCCAUCCAGCACUGGGUCUGGUCUGCAACAGCGGCAGGUGGAAAGGCUGUUGUGGUAGAGCAGAGCCCGUUUUUUUUCUGUGGUUUGCUCCCUUUGUGCUUGUUGUACUACAGAUGAUGGAGGACACAUUCAUGCGUGGUCUUUUUGAAUCCAUUUAUGGACAAGUGGUCUCAUGAAUUUGUCUAAAUGCUUUUGAACUGCUGAUCUGUUAACCUGGAUACCGAACCUCCAUUUAAAUGGCACUUUAAAAGCUUUUCUUAAAUAAAUAAAUAAAAUCUGCGGAAGGGCUUGACCAAGAGCCCUUGCUGCAGGAAAAAAAAAAAAAAAAACUGGAAUUGUUAUUAAGUUUAUAACAGUUUUGUGACCAUGACAGUUGUCUUUCAUGUGGAGCUGAUUUUGUGACAUAUAUGAUAUCUAUUUGCCUCACACUGUGCAAUCGAUAUUACUGUGUACUUUAAUUUUUUCUUCACAGGAACAUUCAAUUAGGCGGAAUAUUCAGUAACCAGCCUCAUAUUAGUAAUGAUUUUCUGUGUCCAUACAGGCCUGCUGGAGGUCACUGCAGGGGAAGACAGAAGAGCAACCCAUCUCUGCCUACAAUGAGCAAUGCCAGACCAGGGAAGGAAUAUGCUAUUUCAUCUUCUUCUUGGGAGGCUCUGUGGAAUCUCUCUUGCUAGAAAAAUUGUGCAAAUGCAAUGUGUAGCACUGUCACAUUUUUUCUACAGAAGCAGAGAAGAAUCAAGGGAAUCAAUACUACUACACUGUAAUUCAUCCAAUUAAUUAUGUAUCAGUGUAGAAAUAUUAUUAAAUCUCCAUUUCAGAAUAACUGAUCAAUUCAAGGAGCAAUAACACUAAAAGUCUAUCCUGAAUUGUUCCCCAGAAAUCAGCAAGGAUCCUCCUACCACUUUUCAUCUCCAUAUGAACAUUACCCAUUAAGCCUCUUCGCUUAUUCUAUACCCUUCAGUACCAGUCCACUGUUUGGUCUUUUCCUCCUUUGAAAUUAGUCAGACUAGGUUUAUGCCCAUAAAGUCUUACUGGGAGAAACAUGACUCAGCUGUAGGGCAGCUAUACAUUAUUAAUUAAUGCUUAGUUUUCAAAUAAACCUUCUUGCUAGCUUGUACACCACUAUUGUUUGUUUUCAACCACAGAAGUUCAAUCUAUCACAGAAAAUUUUAGAUUGAAAUAAAUAUUCACCCAGCUUUUCCGUUCUUAGAUUUUUCCCUCUGAAACAGCCUUCCAAUCCAUGCUGGUAAGAUUCCCUUUCCUCAGGAAGUUGUACUAAUAAUUUUCCAAAAAUAUUAGCAGGGGAUCCAUAGCAACUGUUGAUAUGAGUCAAAGUGAUUUAAGAGAGAUCUUAGCAACCUUCUGUUAAGAUAUACUGUAUACAGCCUCCCCCACUUAGCAAAAUCCCACAAUAUGGCAAGAAAGAUUUGUAUGUCUAAGAAUAGCUACCUACACACAUUUUUCAAGAUGACUGAGCCAUAAUGAUUUAAAUCCUCCCUACCACAGUUUCAGCAAGAUGUGCCUCUACAACACUAUAUCAAAGUGUUCUGUUCAGAGUUUUGAAUCUUCUUCCUUUUUUAAAUCACACCAUUAACAUCCUUGACAUUUUAGAAAUAAUGUUUAUUGAUUUUUCUGUUAACAUUGCUAUAAAUUAAGUGAUGUAAUGGACAGGAUUAUUGAAGUUCUAUAAAGAAUAUGUCUUUCAGAUUCUUAACUACAUAUUGAAAAAGCGCAGACUCUGGAAAAAUACUGCAGUUCUGUGCUGUUCUUGGGAAGUUUUCAUUUGGAUGACUACUUUUUAUGUGACAGAAUAGACAUAUAACAGAGAUGAUAUUACAACUACCUGCUAAGUACCACAUGACAGGAGAAAAACAUCUGAUUUAGGUGAAAUUGAGAAAUAAACAAUAGUAACAAAUCAGACACAGGAGAAUUCCUUAUCACUUGCUGUUCUGAAAUUUAAAAUCUGUGGGACAGGGUUGCAAAUAUUCCAUUUUGUAGUAGAAGUGUUGUUAGUAAAUGCAAAUAGCUUUCUUCAUUGUAGAUGAGGAUUCAUAAAAGGGCUGAAUAGACUGAACAUGAAGAUGCAUGCACAGUGCAGAAGGAAAACAGCACAAUCAUCUUCAGCCUCAUUCAAUUAGCAUUGGUGUCAGCAGCCCACACCUUUCUGUUUUAAGGGUUACACAAGGUGAGCCUGUAAGCUAAGACCUGGAACAGCGUGGAGGAUCUUUUAACAGACUACCACAUAGACAACAAUGAUCUACCACAUUUAGGAAUUUAAUAUAGCCCUGAGAUUAAAGACUUGCAACUGUCCUCACAAAGUACUGCAUUGAGAGUCAGUAUCAGAAUGUCUGAUGUCUUUUUUUUUUUUUUUCUGGGGUGACAGCAAAGCACUAGAAGAACCAAAACACCAACCUAUUGGCAGCAAAAACAGAACCGACAUACAAUAAAUGAACUUUGUCCACUCCCAUGGUUAGGAGGAGUGCCCUGCAGGCAGAGCCCUAAAUCAUAUUUUGAUAACAGAAGCAUCUGGGUCUGAAGAGGUUUUGGUAAAACCUGAUGAGGGACAGGGAAUGAGCAAGGCAGCAUGUGCUCUGUUAACUUCCAUGAUCUUUCAGAGUCCUGACUCACAGAUUAGUUUUUUAGACUGUUUCUACAGAACCUUCAAGUCACCAAGCCUUCAUUCUUGUUUUAUUGGGCAGUUUUUCAACUGCUGAGCCUCCUGUAAUAAUGCAAUUCGAUUUCUAUCCUUGGAUGUUUGAUUUUACAUUCCAUCAUCACGAAGCAUUGAUUAAAACUUAGCAGAUUUACUUGAUUGUGUUUAUGACUUUGUUUUCUCAGGGCAAGGUCAGGGUUUAUGACAACAUGACACUCAUAAAAAACAAAACAAAAAAAAUUUUUUGGUGAUGCUUGUUUCCUGACUGUGAUCAGAUCUAUUCUUCAACUUUUAAAAUCAUCUUGUUAGUUUGCUUAAAAACAGAAAAAAGUAACUGAGACAUGGACUGGCACAAAUGAGAAGAAGCAAAAAUGAACUCGGGCACAUAUGUUCAGGGAUUUAUAUCCAAAAUUCUCUAAAAUUCUCACUUUGCUUCCUCCUAGCCUUUGGAAGACCUGUUUCUCAGAGUGCUAAGUCCCCCCUCACAGAAGAAGAAAACAUUUUUCUGCUACUUGCCAUGGGCAUAAACAACUAUAUCUGGAGAACAUAAACCUCUGGCCUACACCCCAAACUGAAUCCCACAGCCAUCCACACAACAUGCCUACCAAACCUGGUAUUGUACAAAACAUACCAAAAAGAAAGAAGAGAUGGCCAUUAUAUCCCGCUUUACUCUACAAGCAAGUAAAGAACUAAUCUGAGACACGAGACCUAGAUUCAGAUUUCUUUUCUUCUUGAUUUAGAGUAAAGCUCUUAACUUCAUAGGAAAGUAGCCACACCACUGUACCACUGAGCUGCAUUUUGGAGGUGGGAAUGUGUCACUCUUCCCUGCUGAAGUUGUUCUGUGCACAUUUUUAUAAACACCCCCCAGCACAAAGACAGGAUGAAAAUGGCUAGUGCCUUCACCCAUUGUCCAAACCAAUAAAUAUUCUACUAUUUUGUAAUAAGUUUUGGAAGGUGCCUGGAAAAUAAAUGGGUCUUCUUAGUUCACCUUUUAAUAGGUAACUAUAUGCAUCAUCAGGCCAUAAUUUUGAAAAGCAAGUAUGUAAAAAUUAGAGGACAAAAUCUGCUAUUCACAGGUACUUACCUUAAUACUCUGUAUUGUCAACUUCUACAAGAAGGACCAAAUACCAUGUAAUUUCAGGACAGAAGUUCUAGCUAUAAACAUAAGUUACAUUUAACUGCUGCACAUCUCCCAUUCAUGCUGGAGAAUAUUUCCAAAACAACAAAAGUUAAACUAAUAAACCUUUACCUUUACAGAUAAACUGAAAAACUGAAACUUUGUUUUAAAUUUCUGGUUGUUAAAUAAUGCACUACCCUGUCAUAAAAUGUGCUCACUUUAAGAUUAAGAUUUCUCCACCUUUGUUUCAGGUCUAUUCUCUGUUCUCCACUGUUUGUUUUGGAUCCUUUCUCCUGUUCUUGUGGUCUUUCUUUUCAAAUUGUCUCAUCAUUUAGCAUAUCACCAAGACAUGUUUGGACUUCUGCUGAUUUACUAUGCCUCUGGUGUAUCAUAUCUGGAUUUUAAAGCAGUGAACCUGCCGUUCAUUUACACGAAGAAGGACCAUUACGUUGGAGCUUUUUUACACAAUACCACUAUGUAUCUACCUAAAACUGUACUGGACUUCUCUGCUAAAUAUAAGAGCAUAUGUGAGAGAAAUGUGUCUCUCUUGCUGCCAUCCCUUAUCACGAUAUACUUCAUCAUUCCUUUCUAUAGACUUUUAUUCACAUUUACCGUAAAUUUUUUUUUUAGCUGGAUACUUUUGCUUGGAGGUUUUGGAGAAUGCUCCUGGGUUGUUUUUUUCCUGUUAUUAAUUGAAAUCUCUCCAGUGCUAUUUUUACAUUCAUCCUAUUUGCAAGGCUCAGGAAGUGAUUGUCCCUCUGUACUUGGCUCUAGUGGAGCCGCACUUCAAGUGCUGUGUUCAGCUUUGGGCCCCUCACUACAGGGACAUGGAGGUGCUCAAGAGAAUCCAGAGAAGGGCGAUGAAACUGGUGAGGGGUCUGGAGAACAAGUCCUACGAGGAGCGGCUGAGGGAACUGGGGUUGUUCAGCCUGGAGAAGAGGAGGCUCAGGGGAGACCUCAUUGCUCUCUACAGAUACCUGAAAGGAGCUCGUAGCAAGAUGGGGAUUGAGCUCUUCUCCCAGGCACCAAGUGAUAAGACAAGGAGAAACAGCCUCAAAUUCACCAGGGGAGGUUUAGAUUGGACAUUAGGAUAAGUUUCUUUACUGAAAGGGUUGUGUGGCAUUGGAAUAGGCUGCCCAGGGAAGUGGCUGAGUCCCUGGAGAUCUACAAGAAACAUGUAGAUGUAGAACUUAAUAGCAUGGUUUAAUGCUGGACUUGCCCCUAUUAGGUUAAAGAUUAUACUAGAUGAUCUUAGAGGUCUUUUCCAACAUGAAUGAUUCUAUGAUUCAUGACAUUUCUGUCUUCCUUUGUAAACACCGAUUUUUCUUACUUGUCAUUAAGGCCAAUACAUAACUAGCUUAGGAAGUACAUUAAAAAGUCAGGAAAAAAACAGGGAUGGCAGUCUGAGGUGCCCAGAAGAUCCCCUAGGGCAUCCUAAUUCAUGCUGAAUGGGACAAACCAGCUGAGGGGCAACUGAGGAAAGCUUUCUUUGUAUUUCAGGAAAGUUAUAACAGGCACUCAGAAAGGAGCUUCUUCGAAAGAGUACGUUUCUAAAAUCCACUAAUUCAAAAAUGCAAAGUGACAUUCUUUCAGAAUACGUAGAGAGUAAUAGCUAAUGCAGGAUAUCCUCAAAAGCAUCUACAAAAUUACAAGGAAGAUAUUCAGGACACAGACAUGCCAUGUCUGCAACUCCCUUUCUGACUCUUCAAAAAGAAGCUAAAAUCACAGUUGGCAACAGUUCUGAAAUGCAACAGUAAUCCAUAAAUACUCCUUAAUUUUCCUGUCAUUGCAGAAUUAAGCUACUUCCAGCUAACACAGAUCUUACCAGGUGUGCUAAAUUGAUGUCAUUAUAAGCCAUCAGGAAAUACCCACAGAGACCUGUAGCAACAUUUAGAAGUUUUGUUAAACAGCUGUGUGUUAUAAUUGAUUUGUAUUAUUUAAAACAGCUAAAGCAAGUUAUCUCCGGAUGUAGAAAAGGGAUGACUGAAGACUCCAGGGAGAUUUAACUCACAUGAAAGCCAAUCACAGGAACUUCAUUUGAGCAUUUUAAGAUUAUUACUAGAGGAAGUGCAAUUAAAUCAUCACCAUUUAUCAAUUAUCAUUAUAAAAUACUAUGCAACCUUAUCAUACUAAUUUAUUUAUGAGAAGAGUAUAAGACAAAACAUAGUUGUAUUACAACUGUACACUGGCAUGCUAUACACAUUUCAUAAAACACUUAAAAUUCCAAAAUCAGCCUUUGUUAAAAGGUGGGACUGUAAGCUAUCCACAAGCCAGAACAGCUCAUCUGGGAAAUACCUGAGAUGUCAGCCCCAAAGGAUUCCUAGCAUCUGCCUGUAAUUAAGAGUUACUGGUCUCUAUCUACCAGCAAUGGAUUUUCAAAUGGAUUGAAAGCAAAGUUAAUUGAAUCCUCUGCCUUUCUAUGCAGAAAUGGUCAUGAUUUAGCUCUGAAUCUUAAACUUGAGCUAUGAAUCACAAAACUUUACAAUCUGAACUACAAAACUUUCUUGUGCAGAAAGGGAGUUAUCAGCUAAUCUAUUAUUUUAUUAAAUCUAAUUUUCUCAUCUUCAUUCUGUAGGAGACAACCCAGAUAAUUAAUACUUUAUUUAAAAGCAUCUAUUAUGACAGAAUCUGCAAACUCACAAUUAGAAUUCAGAAAUGCACAACAAACAUCUGAAAACCAAUGCCUGUUAAGUUCUCAGGGAGCUAUUAUAAUACAAAUAAUAGUCUGUGGCUGCAAAAACAUUAACGUUGCCUGUGUUCCCAUGAUUGAGUGCCAUUUAAAAAUAGGCAUCCUGUAAUUAAGUUGUAUUAGUUGAAUUAUGGAAACACCUGUAGACCUCAGUUGAGGUUAUACUCCUGUUGCACCAGCUGCUCCCGUAAGAGACCUGUGUACCUGGAAGCAGCUAAGAUCAAGAAGCCAGUGAUGGAAGUGGGGAAAGAAAGGAGACAUUGGUAUCUUCCUCUGAUGAUAAAAAACCUCACACCUGGAGAGUUCCCACUCUUUGUCCAAACUUGCACUGGAGGCCUGGAGCUGAGUGGAGAACCCAGAGUGCACAGCUCAGCUCUGAGCCACAUCUUCCUGGGCACAAACGGGACUGUUUUCGAGACAGCCACCAUCACAAUUCUACGAAUAGGACAUAAAUUGCUGAAAUAAUCUAGUGACUUUAAGACCACUUCAAAUAAAAGUGAUUUGAAUACCUCUAAAACAAGGCACUGAUAACAGAGUUUACUAAUCU